RNAcentral lists this non-coding RNA (32 nucleotides) under Mus musculus (house mouse). Lineage: Eukaryota; Metazoa; Chordata; Mammalia; Rodentia; Muridae. The record is from RNAcentral.
UCCCAAAUGGUGUCCCAAAACUAUAUAAAUGU